AACGAACGCUGGCGGCAUGCCUAACACAUGCAAGUCGAACGAGACCUUCGGGUCUAGUGGCGCACGGGUGCGUAACGCGUGGGAACCUGCCCUUAGGUUCGGAAUAACUCCCCGAAAGGGGUGCUAAUACCGGAUAAUGUCUUCGGACCAAAGAUUUAUCGCCUUUGGAUGGGCCCGCGUUGGAUUAGCUAGUUGGUAGGGUAAAAGCCUACCAAGGCUACGAUCCAUAGCUGGUCUGAGAGGAUGAUCAGCCACACUGGGACUGAGACACGGCCCAGACUCCUACGGGAGGCAGCAGUGGGGAAUAUUGGAAAAUGGGCGAAAGCCUGAUCAAGCAAUGCGGCGUGAGUGAUGAAGGCCUUAGGGUUGUAAAGCACUUUUACCCGGGAAGAUAAUGACAGUACCGGGAGAAUAAGCUCCGGCUAACUCCGUG
RNAcentral lists this ribosomal RNA (433 nucleotides) under uncultured bacterium. RNAcentral describes it as "partial 16S ribosomal RNA". It matches the Rfam family "Bacterial small subunit ribosomal RNA", at positions 29 to 507 of the family's 1533-position model. The record is from RNAcentral.